GGGUGAGUAAUGCGUAGGAAGCUACCCGACAGAGGGGGAUACCAGUUGGAAACGACUGUUAAUACCGCAUAAUGUCUACGGACCAAAGUGUGGGACCUUCGGGCCACAUGCUGUCGGAUGCGCCUACGUGGGAUUAGCUAGUUGGUGAGGUAAUGGCUCACCAAGGCGACGAUCCCUAGCUGGUUUGAGAGGAUGAUCAGCCACACUGGAACUGAGACACGGUCCAGACUCCUACGGGAGGCAGCAGUGGGGAAUAUUGGACAAUGGGCGAAAGCCUGAUCCAGCCAUGCCGCGUGUGUGAAGAAGGCCUUCGGGUUGUAAAGCACUUUCAGUAGGGAGGAAGAGUUGAGUGUUAAUAGUACUCAGCUUUGACGUUACCUACAGAAGAAGCACCGGCUAACUCUGUGCCAGCAGCCGCGGUAAUACAGAGGGUGCAAGCGUUAAUCGGAAUUACUGGGCGUAAAGCGCACGCAGGCGGUUGGUUAAGUCAGAUGUGAAAGCCCCGGGCUCAACCUGGGAAUUGCAUUUGAAACUGGCCAACUAGAGUACGUGAGAGGGGGGUAGAAUUCCAAGUGUAGCGG
Molecule: ribosomal RNA, 581 nt
Filed under: Rheinheimera aquatica
Lineage: Bacteria; Pseudomonadati; Pseudomonadota; Gammaproteobacteria; Chromatiales; Chromatiaceae
Description: bacterial SSU rRNA
Rfam family: Bacterial small subunit ribosomal RNA
Source: RNAcentral